ACUCUAAAUAAGGGCUUGUUUGAUUCAGUUAUUUAGACUAUGAAAUCAAAAUGAAAUUCAUUGAUUUCAAUAGCUGUUGUUUGUUUUAUAGGAAUCGAAUUUCGAUUCCGAUUUCACUCUUGAACGGAAAUUACCAAUUCCAUUUGUGGCCUAAUCUGAUUUUGAAUUCUGGAUUUGUCCAUUUGAAAGUAAACUAUUCAAAAUUUUCUUUCACCAGCACAUCCUCUCCUUUCCCUUCAUCACUUUUCUCUUUCUUAAUUAAAACUCUCUUUCAAAAAUUUUAGAUAUUCAUUCCAAUUCUCAUUCUAAUAAUGAAUCAAAUAUUUUUAAAUGAUUCACCAUUCUAUUUUUUAUUCCAAAGCAAUUUAAUUUCAUUUCUCAUUCCUAUUUUAAUCAUGAACUAAAUAUAUUCUAAAUUCUGUAAAGUGAUUUUAGGAUCAAAAGUGAUUUUUUUUUUUUUCAAUAAAGCAUUUAGUAAUCUCAUUUACAAAAUUAGAUUCUGAUUUUUAAAAUCAGUUUCCUGAAUUUAUCUCAAAUCAAUUUAGAAAAUUCACUUUCCAUCUAACUCAACCGAACGCCGUGCAGCUUUUAACUAAAAUUACAUGCAGAAAUCACUUCUCUAAGCCCCCGUUUGGUUGGAGGUUAAGGAGUGGAAUAACUCCUUAACCCCCAUAUUAUUCCCAAACAUCCUCAAAAAUGGGUGGGGUUAGCUAACCCCACCUCAAAUGGGUUAUCCCGGGUUAGCUAACUCCACGUCUCCACCUAACCCCAAUCAAACACCAUUUUCUAUUCAUAAUAACUCACUAUCCUUCUUAUCCCACCUACUCCAACCAAACACUAUUUUUUACUAUCCUGGACUAACUCCAACCUCCAACCAAACACAAAAAUACUCUAACCCCACCUUAAUCCUGAACUUAACUCUAUUUCUGGAAUAAUUAGUUUUUCCUUAACCCCGAACCAAACUUUAAUAAGUUUUCUAGGAAAGAAACAAAACUUUAU
RNAcentral lists this long non-coding RNA (999 nucleotides) under Ananas comosus (pineapple). RNAcentral's name for it is "long non-coding RNA (ACOM_LNC012993)". Lineage: Eukaryota; Viridiplantae; Streptophyta; Magnoliopsida; Poales; Bromeliaceae. The record is from RNAcentral.